UCACCUGAAAGUAGGGAUGUUAUAACGGGUUUCUUUAGCGGGUUCUUAAUGGGUAUUGAAAAUAAAUUAAUACCUAAUUAGACCCAUUUAGUGUACUGGGUUUUUAAUGGGUUAUCCGGCUAAGACCCAUUUAUUAUAUGGGGUUUAGCUAAAAUAAAUGAGGACCCUACUAACCCAUUUAAGUUUUUUUUUCUUUAAUCAAAAACGUUGUCGUUUAAUUUUUAUGUACGGGUUUUCUAAUCAUAUCAAAAAAAAAAAAUUUGUCUACUCUUUCUCUCCGCGGCGGAGACUCCGCCUAAUCUCAAUCUCUUCUACAAGCAUCAAAGGAUCAGUAAACGUUAAUGCUCUUCUUGUGUCGCUUUACUUCUUCAUCAUCACUGCAAGUUCCAGAUAAUAAUACAUGAAUGUGUUGUGAUUAUGAUAUGAUUUGCUUUGUUCCAUUGAUAUUAUUUGAUUAUAUAUUUGUGACGUGAUUGUGAUUUCCUUAUGUUUUGUGUUUGUGAUUGUGCUAGAAUCUAGAUUGAUUAAGAGAAUCUGUUUUUGUUCUUUUAGUUACAGCAUGGAUUAGUUAAUAGACAUGAAUGAAGAAGAUACUCUAGCUGAGAUAAAUUUAGAAGAUACACAACCACAAGCACAGCAAAGUGAAACUCAAGUAGGGGAAUCAACUCAAGCUCAACGCAAGAGACGUAAAACAUCGCCCGUUUGGGAAGACUUUGUGUCAGUGGGAGUAGAAGAAGAUGGCAAAGAAAGGGCCAAGUGUUAUGCAUUGCGGUACGAAGUUAGUGACACGUAGUGAAACGAAUCACAGCUUUGGGACUCAUCAUCUUCAAUGCCACUUGAAAACUUGUUCAAAGAAGCCUUUGAAGGAAGCUAAACCUAUAAAUAAAACAAGAAAGGUAUGAAACAAAUUAAAAAAAAAAAGAGUUAAAUGGGUCUAAAUGGGUCUUAAUGGGUCAAAGUAAAAUUUGUGGGUUUAAAUGGGGAGCCCUAAUAGACCUUAAAACUAAAUGAGUCUAAACGGGUUUGGGUUCUAAAUGGGGUGGGUUAUAAAUGGGGUGGGUCUAAAUGGGGUGGGUUUACCCAUUUUAACAUCCCUACCUGAAAGUGGGUAGGAAAGAAUUCAACAGAUACGUUAUUAGAAUUGCACAAGUGAUAAACAGAGAUAAGGUUUUUAUGAAGGUUAGGGACAUAAAGGAUAUCAUAAGGGUUAAAUGAGCGAGAGGAAGUUUUAAGAGAUGUUGAACCAGUAUGCAAGAUUGAGAGACCAGAGUCAGCAAUGGUGACCUCCUCUCCACAUGUGUACGGUUUAUGAAGGGCAAGGUUGCUCAGAUCAGUGGUGAGGUGAUGUGUAGCUCCACUGUCCAUGAUCCAGUUGUGAGGAUUGUAAGAAGACGCAGACGCCAUGUUUGCUUGUGGCUGCCAAGCGGUCGAAGCAGGAGCAUAGGAACGAGACUGAGAUGACCCGGCAGCAGUGUUUUGAAGUUGAGAGAAACGUCUAGCGCUGUGACCGUAAACACCGCAUAACUGGCAUUUGCCUUGAUAGCCAUGGUUGUUGUCAUUGCGCGAGGAGAACUGUUGUUGUUGUUGCAAAGUCUGAUCAUUCCUGUUGUUCCUGCUUUGAUUGUUGUUCUUGUUAGAACCUUGAAAGUUUCCGCGGUUACCAGUAUGAAGAGAGGAUCCACGGUAGUUAGCUACAUUAGCUAUUAUUGGAAGCACCGUCUGACGCCAGAGUACCUUGGAGCUUAACCUCGAAUUGAGAAGCUUCUCGUGAACCUCCGUGACUGAUGGUGUCGAAUCACGACUCUCAACCUGAUCAACCAGUUGCUUGUACUCCUCUUGGAAUCCUUCAAGAAUGUAUUUGAUCUGGUCCUCGAGUUCAUACGGUUUGCCCAAAAGCGCAAGUUGAUCAAAUCGAGUAGUGUAGCCUUGGAUGUACGCAUCGAUUGACAUCGUCCCUUUGGUCUAGUUUUUGAUUUGUUGACACAAUUGCUUGAUGUGAGCACGAGAAGGCUUCGCAUUCGUAGAAGAGAACGUGUCCCAGAUUUUAGCAGAGGUUAUGGUAGUGGAAGUAUCGGUUGAAUGGAGACGGUAAUAGCGCCGAGCAAAGCAUUGUAGAUCAGUCUGUCUUGUCUCUUCCACAAGAAGUAGUCCUGAUUCGCUGAGAUCACACCAUCCGUUGUUAUCAUGGGUGGAGGCAUGACAACUGAUCCAUCGAUGUAUCCCGUAAGAUCGUAGCUAUCGAGUAGGGCGUGAACCUGACGGCUCCACAUGAGGAAGUUGGAUGCUGUGAGCUUCGUAACGUUGGUCAUAUUAAGGUUGAGAAGGUUUGUGGUAUUGGAAACAAUGAUUGUUUCAGUGGAAGAGGCCGGAGAGUUCGACAUGAUUCAAAGAAUCAGUGAAAAGAAAAAUCGUGAGAAGAAGAAGAGUAGAAGUGGCGGCCAAGAGAGUUUUGAAAAAUUAGGGAUCUAUGGCUCUUGAUACCAUAAAGAGAAUAUGACUGAAUGGUUUGUAUUACUCAUAAGAUUACAGUAUAUAUACAUCGUACAUUAGGUAUUCUAAGUAUCUAGUAUUUACUGAGAGGUCCUUAUACUUAUAUCUUCUACAGGUGGAUACAUAUCAAAAUUCUCUUCAUCUUUCUUUCUCUUUUCUUUUUACCACAAAAGUUUGUUUUGGGUUUUGAUUGCUGAAUUUUGACUGCUUAUCAUCUUUUGUACUAGUGGAAAGAACUCUGAGUGAUCACCUAAAAAUCGUGACCUAAACACUUUGAGAGUGUGCAGAUUUUUAUUUGCUAACUCUUUUGUUAAGUUUUUUCAGGAUGUUUUGACUUCUCAAGAAAUCAAAAGCACAACAAGACGUUUAUUUUUCUUUUAAAACCGUGUUAGAAAAAGAGCAAAUAAUUUUUGGAAAUAAGAAACAGUUUGCUUCUAAUGGGUUUGAUUUGUGCAGAAA
Brassica rapa (field mustard) is the source of this 2949-nucleotide long non-coding RNA. RefSeq lists it as uncharacterized. NCBI's taxonomy places the organism in Eukaryota, Viridiplantae, Streptophyta, Magnoliopsida, Brassicales, Brassicaceae. The record is from RefSeq and is a predicted model, not a curated record.